This 1390-nucleotide ribosomal RNA is filed under the name Hyalonema sp. NIWA 126036. RNAcentral's name for it is "SSU rRNA". It matches the Rfam family "Eukaryotic small subunit ribosomal RNA", at positions 4 to 1247 of the family's 1831-position model. The record is from RNAcentral. Lineage: Eukaryota; Metazoa; Porifera; Hexactinellida; Amphidiscosida; Hyalonematidae.
CUGGUUGAUUCCUGCCAGUAGUCAUAUGCUUGUCUCAAAGAUUAAGCCAUGCAUGUCUAAGUGUAAACUUGGUUUACGGUGAAACUGCGAAUGGCUCAUUAAAUCAGUUAUCGUUUAUUUGAUGGUGUCUCUACUACAUGGAUAACCGUAGUAAUUCUAGAGCUAAUACAUGCUUCAACUCCCGACUGGUGCUCUCGGGCGCCUGGAAGGGAUGUAUUUAUUAGAUCCAAGACCAACGCGGUGCUUCCUUCACGGGGGGUGCCGGUUCUUUGGUGAUUCAUGAUAACUUCUCGGAUCGCAUGGCCUCUGCGCCGGCGAUGCUUCAUUCAAGUUUCUGCCCUAUCAACUGUCGAUGGUAGGGUAUUGGCCUACCAUGGUUGUAACGGGUGACGGAGAAUUAGGGUUCGAUUCCGGAGAGGGAGCCUGAGAAACGGCUACCACAUCCAAGGAAGGCAGCAGGCGCGCAAAUUACCCAAUCCCGACCUGGGGAGGUAGUGACAAAAAAUAACAAAGCGGCCCUAAAAAAGGGUUCAGCUAUUGGAAUGAGUACAAUGUAAACACCUUAACGAGGAUCAAUUGGAGGGCAAGUCUGGUGCCAGCAGCCGCGGUAAUUCCAGCUCCAAUAGCGUAUAUUAAAGUUGUUGCAGUUAAAAAGCUCGUAGUUGGAUUUCGGAGUCGUCAGGCCGGUCUGCCCUCAGUGGUGUGCACUGUGCCUUUGCUGGUGGAGGCGCGUACGUCCAUCGUUGGCGGGCGCGUCGUAUCUCUUCGGGGAUGCGGCGUGUCUGUCGGCGGUGGUAUCUCUGCGCGUCUUCCAUCCGACGGCUCUUCCCGCUCGAAGACCUGGCCUGCCCUUAGUUGGUGCGGGCCGUGGCAUUCGAGCUGUUUACUUUGAAAAAAUUAGAGUGUUCAAAGCAGGCUAUCAAUGAGGCUUGAAUACGUUAGCAUGGAAUAAUGGAAUAGGACUCUGGCGCCUAUUUUGUUGGUUCUUAAGCGCCUGGAGUAAUGAUUAAUAGGGACAGUUGGGGGCAUUCGUAUUUCUUUGUCAGAGGUGAAAUUCUUUAAUCUAAGAAAGACGAACAACUGCGAAAGCAUUUGCCAAGGAUGUUUUCAUUAAUCAAGAACGAAAGUUAGGGGUUCGAAGACGAUCAGAUACCGUCCUAGUCCUAACCAUAAACUAUGCCGACUAGGGAUCAGCGAACGUCGCCACUUACGAUGACGUCGUUGGCACCUUACGAGAAAUCAAGAGUGUCUGGGUUCUGGGGGGAGUAUGGUCACAAGGCUGAAACUUAAAGGAAUUGACGGAAGGGCACCACCAGGAGUGGAGCCUGCGGCUUAAUUUGACUCAACACGGGAAAACUCACCAGGUCCGGACAUAGUGAGGAUUGACAGA